Molecule: ribosomal RNA, 619 nt
Filed under: uncultured bacterium
Lineage: Bacteria
Description: bacterial SSU rRNA
Rfam family: Bacterial small subunit ribosomal RNA
Source: RNAcentral
CAAGUCGAGCGGAAAGGCCCUUCGGGGUACUCGAGCGGCGAACGGGUGAGUAACACGUGAGGAACCUGCCUUUAGCUCUGGGAUAGCUUCGGGAAACCGGAAUUAAUACCGGAUAUGACUGCGGCCGGCAUCGGCUGCGGUGGAAAGAUUUAUCGGCUAAGGAUGGCCUCGCGGCCUAUCAGCUUGUUGGUGAGGUAACGGCUCACCAAGGCGACGACGGGUAGCCGGCCUGAGAGGGCGACCGGCCACACUGGGACUGAGACACGGCCCAGACUCCUACGGGAGGCAGCAGUGGGGAAUAUUGCGCAAUGGGCGAAAGCCUGACGCAGCAACGCCGCGUGAGGGAUGAAUGCCUUCGGGUUGUAAACCUCUUUCAGCAGGGACGAAGCGAGAGUGACGGUACCUGCAGAAGAAGCGCCAGCUAACUACGUGCCAGCAGCCGCGGUAAUACGUAGGGCGCAAGCGUUGUCCGGAAUUAUUGGGCGUAAAGAGCUCGUAGGUGGUCUGUUACGUCUGCUGUGAAAACCUAGGGCUUAACCCUGGGCCUGCAGUGGAUACGGGCAUGACUAGAGGUAGGUAGGGGAGAAUGGAAUUCCCGGUGUAGCGGUGAAAUGCGCAG